Long non-coding RNA from Chelonia mydas (Green sea turtle), 809 nucleotides. RefSeq lists it as uncharacterized. The record is from RefSeq and is a predicted model, not a curated record. NCBI's taxonomy places the organism in Eukaryota, Metazoa, Chordata, Testudines, Cheloniidae. The transcript is spliced from 2 exons.
UUUGAACCUCUCAUAGCUUGAUCCUCCAAGGUGCUGAGUGCCCUCAACUAAUGGGAAUGAAGGGCACUCAGCACCUUGCAUAACUGGGCCCUUAUUGCCUCUUUUUAUGACACAAAAUCAUUUAACAACCAGCCGAGAUUUGUCCUAUAAAGAUUUAUCCAAUAUUUGUUGUAGUUAAAGGUUGAAAUGAAAUUAAUGUAACUCAGUAAAGAGAAAAUAUUUAUGCAUGUGAGAGGACUAAGGAGAUUGCAAAUCAAACAGCCAUUGUAUCCCUAGUACUACCAGAUCCCCAAACAAAAAUGUGAAAUAUCUGAGUGGGAGAAAGAAAAGAAAACUUUUUUCCAACCUGCUGAAAAAAAUGAUGCUCACAUGAUAGCUAGAUACAUCAAGGGUAACAAGAAAACAAUCUACAAAUACAUUAGAAGCACCAGGAAGACCAAGGACAAGAUAUGUAUCUGUUGGACAAUCAAAGGAGCUACUUCAUUCCUAUGGACCCCAAAUUGAAUCCAACAUAUAUUCUAUACUAGUACAUUUAUUAAAGUACUAAUUAAAUGCUAAAUGUUAAUUUGUUAACAUUGAGACCAUGGAUGGAGACAUUAUGUAACCUUUUGACCAUUGGCUACUGUGCUAUCAUGUCUUGCAGCUAGACUUAUCCGGGGGUGUGGGACUGCCUACUCCGUCACUUUCCCCACCCAUGGAAAAUCCAUAUAUUCCAUUGUAAUCAAUUGAUUGACAGUGUCUCUGAGCCUAAUAAGUGAGGUGACACUCCGUCUGCGCUGUACGUAAUAAACUCCUUUGCUUGACCUCUA